GAAAUGCGAUAAGUAGUGUGAAUUGCAGAAUUCAGUGAAUCAUCGAAUCUUUGAACGCACAUUGCGCCCCUUGGUAUUCCAUGGGGCAUGCCUGUUCGAGCAUCAUUUGUACCCUCAAGCUCUGCUUGGUGUUGGGUGUUUGUCCCCGUCUCCGCGCGUGGACUCGCCCCAAAGUGAUUGGCAGCCGGCGUACUGGUCCCGGAGCGCAGCACAUGUCGCGCAAACGAGUGCCUUGGUACGGCGGCGUCCAUAAGCCCCUCUCUCACGCUCUUGACCUCGGAUCAGGUAGGGAUACCCGCUGAACUUAAGC
RNAcentral lists this unclassified non-coding RNA (310 nucleotides) under plant metagenome. Its description in RNAcentral is "partial contains 5.8S ribosomal RNA, internal transcribed spacer 2, and large subunit ribosomal RNA". The stretch from base 1 to 105 matches the Rfam family "5.8S ribosomal RNA", at positions 50 to 154 of the family's 154-position model. The record is from RNAcentral.